AUUUUGUUUGAUUUUCUUUGUCCUCGUGCUCUGCACAUGAUGGUAACUUGGAUUUUGCUUGGGCAGGUGCCUUUCUCACUUGAGGACCCGGAUUACAAGGGCCUUGAGCUAGAUCUGAUGGUGUUCUGCGAGAAGCAUGGGAAGCCAUCAGAGAGGCUUGUUGCAUUUGAAGGAACAAUGACUGGGAGAAGGUUCUUAGCAUGUGCAGAGCCGGAAGGUCAGAAUUGUGGGUUUGUUCAGUGGGUUGAUGAGCAGUGGCCCCCAACAAUGGAGAAUGCACUGUUGAAGCUUUGGUCAAUGGUUGAAGAGAGCAAAUGUGCUAAGGUGAAUGAUAAUCUUGAAAGGGCUUUAACUAUUCACCAUUUGACAGAAGAAAAGAACAAGAUGGAUGCAGACUAUGACAAGUUGGUGAAAGAUGUGCAUCAACUUGUGGAUAUCUAGGCUGAUAGGGUUGUGGAUUUCAGUUAUCUGCAGUCCAACCUCACAUAUCAGCAGGAAUGCAGAGUUGAGUUGAUUGCUGGUAUGAAGGCAGAAAUGGCGCCAAAGAAAGAUGCAGCUGCAGAGAAGGUUCAACAGAAGUAUGAAAUCCUGUGCAACCUGACAAGUGCUCAAGCAACUGUCAUCCAAAACCUCAGGUUGAAGAAUAUGAAAGAGAAGGAAUUGCUGAGUGAGGCUGGGAUGAAUUUGGAGUUGAAGAAUGCAGAGUUCACACAUUUUGAGGAGAAGCUCACCCAAGAGAAGCUAGAGUUGAAGUUCCAGGUUGCUGAUCUGCUAAAGCUCAAGGAAAACUAUAAUGAAGAGAAGCAGAUGCAAGAGUUUAAGAUUACUGAGCUCAUGAAGGCACGGGAGAAGCUGAAGGAGAAGAUCAAGGGGAUCCAGGCCAUCUUGCAGAACUAA
RNAcentral lists this ribosomal RNA (897 nucleotides) under Triticum aestivum (bread wheat). RNAcentral describes it as "partial small subunit ribosomal RNA". Lineage: Eukaryota; Viridiplantae; Streptophyta; Magnoliopsida; Poales; Poaceae. The record is from RNAcentral.